CAUGUACUUCCUCCGUCCGGAAUUACUUGUCAUCAAAAUGAAUGUAUCUAGAACUAAAAAAUAUCUAGAUACAUCCAUUUCAAUGGCAAGUAUUUCUGAACGGAGGGAGUAAUUA
Molecule: non-coding RNA, 115 nt
Organism: Triticum aestivum (bread wheat)
Lineage: Eukaryota; Viridiplantae; Streptophyta; Magnoliopsida; Poales; Poaceae
Source: Rfam